CCUACGGGAGGCAGCAGUGGGGAAUAUUGCGCAAUGGGCGAAAGCCCGACGCAGCGACGCAGCGUGAGGGACGAAGGCCUUCGGGUUGUAAACCUCUUUCAGCGGGGACGAAGCGAAAGUGACGGUACCCGCAGAAGAAGCACCGGCUAACUACGUGCCAGCAGCCGCGGUAAUACGUAGGGUGCAAGCAUUGUCCGGAUUUAUUGGGCGUAAAGAGCUCGUAGGCGGCUUGUCACGUCGGAUGUGAAAACUCGGGGCUCAACCCCGAGCCUGCAUUCGAUACGGGCUAGCUAGAGUGUUGCAGGGGAGACUGGAAUUCCUGGUGUAGCGGUGAAAUGCGCAGAUAUCAGGAGGAACACCGGUGGCGAAGGCGGGUCUCUGGGCAACUACUGACGCUGAGGAGCGAAAGCGUGGGGAGCGAACAGGAUUAGAUACCCUGGUAGUCCACGCCGUAAACGUUGGGCGNUAGGUGUGGGACCUCCACGUUCUCCGUGCCGUAGCUAACGCAUUAAGCGCCCGCCGUGGGGAGGUACGGCCGCGAGACGUAAACGUACGAAAGAAGUAGUAACGGUCGUGAGAGUGCGAACGGACGACGACGAGGGAGGAGG
Molecule: ribosomal RNA, 608 nt
Filed under: uncultured bacterium
Lineage: Bacteria
Description: bacterial SSU rRNA
Rfam family: Bacterial small subunit ribosomal RNA (bases 1-521)
Source: RNAcentral